Molecule: ribosomal RNA, 452 nt
Filed under: uncultured Synechococcus sp.
Lineage: Bacteria; Bacillati; Cyanobacteriota; Cyanophyceae; Synechococcales; Synechococcaceae
Description: bacterial SSU rRNA
Rfam family: Bacterial small subunit ribosomal RNA
Source: RNAcentral
GCGGUGGAGCAUGUGGUUUAAUUCGAUGCAACGCGAAGAACCUUACCAGGGUUUUGACAUCCUGCGAAUCUUUUGGAAACAGAAGAGUGCCUUCGGGAACGCAGUGACAGGUGGUGCAUGGCUGUCGUCAGCUCGUGUCGUGAGAUGUUGGGUUAAGUCCCGCAACGAGCGCAACCCACGUCUUUAGUUGCCAGCAUUCAGUUGGGCACUCUAGAGAGACCGCCGGUGAUAAACCGGAGGAAGGUGUGAUGACGUCAAGUCAUCAUGCCCCUUACAUCCUGGGCUACACACGUACUACAAUGCUACGGACAAAGGGCAGCAAACUCGCGAGAGCUAGCAAAUCCCAUAAACCGUGGCUCAGUUCAGAUCGUAGGCUGCAACUCGCCUACGUGAAGGAGGAAUCGCUAGUAAUCGCAGGUCAGCAUACUGCGGUGAAUACGUUCCCGGGCCUU